Molecule: non-coding RNA, 73 nt
Organism: Opisthorchis viverrini
Lineage: Eukaryota; Metazoa; Platyhelminthes; Trematoda; Opisthorchiida; Opisthorchiidae
Source: Rfam
GGCGUUGGUGGAGUAGUGGUUACUCGCUCGCCUCGCAUGUCAGAUGUCCGCGGUUCGAAUCCCGGCACGGCCA